GCUCCUGUUAAAUCAACCAGUGUCGAUCGACUGCGCCUCUAGGCCAAUGCGCCGCGCCGCCCAGGUGAGCCAAUCGCCUGGCAGGCUGCGCCCUCUAUAGUUCUCGAGAUCCCCUGUCGUCUUCCACACCACGCCAUUUCCAUGCCGACACUCCCACACCAUCGCUCUCCCUCCUGGCGUCUUCCCCUUCCUCUACCACCGCUUAGGAUGCUCUUCGCUUCAGCCAUGGAUGAGACUCCUACGUGCCUCUGCUCCAGCGAUGGAUGCCGGGGCGCCCUUCUCUGGCCCAUGGCCGCCACGGUGCGCAGAGCAGAGAAGCACCUCUGUUCCUCCUUCCUUCCUCCAAUGUCGACCGACGCCAUGGAACCAAACCCAAGAUCUCCAUCUCUAAUACAGCGCGCAGGGCAUUUCUCAGGGUCCGAGCUCGAGCAGGUGAGCUCGUCCCCUUGGCUUGGGCUCCUUGUUUGCUUUCUGCACGUACGCUCCCUCUCCCAUCUGGCUUCCUGCCCUUCUCAAGUCCGGCCACCCCCGCCUUGCCGUGGAUUCCAUCGAGCAGCCCCACCUGGCCGCCAUCCUCCCCAGACCGACGCCCCCUUCCACUCCUCCCAUGUUCAGCGCCUGGAGCGAACCCCUGCCGCGCCUGAGAUCCAGGCAGCCAUGGAGGGCAGCCGAACCCCUUCUCCAUGGCUUGAGCCAGCGCCCUCUCCCUGCUGGUUCCUUGGUCGUCCCUUCCCUGGUGGGUACUCAGUCACCCUCCCCUAUCUCUAUUCUAGCAGCUAGCACACGAAAUCCUCCUCGGUGCCUAGUGCCCAUGCCGACACCACGCCUUCUCCCAUGGCUGAGCGUGGGCGCUCUUUUCCCCAUGCCAUGGAUGCACCUCCACCUGCUCCUGUUGCAUGGACGCAAGCCCCAGCUCGUCGUGGUCAACACGUCCAAUGUGCCCCUCCUAGAGACGCUCGACCUCCUUGUUGUGCUGCCUCACCCUCACUUCCAUCUUCCUCGCUGUUCUCCAGAACGCCCAUUGACUGUUCGACGAAACGUCUGAGAGGAGCAUCGUAUCAUAAACAACAUCCCAUGGCGCUGCUACCCCCAUGGUCUACCUGCUGCAAGUUUUGCCUCGUCCCACUCGUCGUCAGGCUCGAACCGAGUGUGCGCAGCCCGUUCGCGACAGCGUCGACCCCGCGGCGGCCUUGUACUUGUGUUGCUUCCCGAGCUGAGACCUUGCAAGCAACAGCAAGUCUUGGAUCCCCUCUGCAUCGCGUGCUUCGCUGGGUCUGCGCAGCGCUGCGCGUCGUCGUCGAAACCCUCGCCUCUCGGUGUCGCGCCUCACGCACCCCGCGUCCAACGAGACGCCUAAACCAUGGACGCAUGCGCAACUCCACUUGGGUUUCAGCCAGGACCGAGAGAUGGUGAUCAUGCAAGUGAUGUGGUGCCAACCACAAGAUGCAGUUGGUGGACGACCUGAAGAAUGGUGGACUUACCCAGUGGAUGCUCGCCAAGCGAGUACCUCCCCCAGCAAACACUACCUAAGUGUUAAAUUAAAG
Long non-coding RNA from Zea mays, 1544 nucleotides. RefSeq lists it as uncharacterized. Lineage: Eukaryota; Viridiplantae; Streptophyta; Magnoliopsida; Poales; Poaceae. The record is from RefSeq and is a predicted model, not a curated record. The transcript has 3 exons.